GAUGAACGCUAGCGGGAGGCCUAACACAUGCAAGCCGAGCGGUAGAGUUUCUUCGGAAACUUGAGAGCGGCGCACGGGUGCGUAACACGUGUGCAACCUACCUUUAUCUGGGGGAUAGCCUUUCGAAAGGAAGAUUAAUACCCCAUAAUAUAAUGAUUGGCAUCAAUUAUUAUUGAAAACUCCGGUGGAUAGAGAUGGGCACGCGCAAGAUUAGAUAGUUGGUGAGGUAACGGCUCACCAAGUCAAUGAUCUUUAGGGAUCCUGAGAGGGAGAUCCCCCACACUGGUACUGAGACACUGACCAGACUCCUACGGGAGGCAGCAGUGAGGAAUAUUGGACUAUGGGUGAGAGCCUGAUCCAGCCAUCCCGCGUGAAGGAUGACGGUCCUAUGGAUUGUAAACUUCUUUUGUACAGGGAUAAACCUACCCUCGUGAGGGUGGCUGAAGGUACUGUACGAAUAAGCACCGGCUAACUCCGUG
This 479-nucleotide ribosomal RNA is filed under the name uncultured bacterium. RNAcentral's name for it is "partial 16S ribosomal RNA". It matches the Rfam family "Bacterial small subunit ribosomal RNA", at positions 28 to 507 of the family's 1533-position model. The record is from RNAcentral.